Molecule: transfer RNA, 71 nt
Filed under: Loxodonta africana (African savanna elephant)
Lineage: Eukaryota; Metazoa; Chordata; Mammalia; Proboscidea; Elephantidae
Rfam family: tRNA
About the family: Transfer RNA (tRNA) molecules are approximately 80 nucleotides in length. Their secondary structure includes four short double-helical elements and three loops (D, anti-codon, and T loops). Further hydrogen bonds mediate the characteristic L-shaped molecular structure. tRNAs have two regions of fundamental functional importance: the anti-codon, which is responsible for specific mRNA codon recognition, and the 3' end, to which the tRNAs corresponding amino acid is attached (by aminoacyl-tRNA synthetases). tRNAs cope with the degeneracy of the genetic code in two manners: having more than one tRNA (with a specific anti-codon) for a particular amino acid; and 'wobble' base-pairing, i.e. permitting non-standard base-pairing at the 3rd anti-codon position.
Source: Rfam by way of RNAcentral
GCAGUGGUUGUUCUGUUGUAGAAUUCUCACCUUCCAUGUGGGAGACCUGGGUUCGAUUCCUGGUGAGUGCA